Topomyia yanbarensis is the source of this 3200-nucleotide long non-coding RNA. RefSeq lists it as uncharacterized. The transcript has 2 exons. Lineage: Eukaryota; Metazoa; Arthropoda; Insecta; Diptera; Culicidae. The record is from RefSeq and is a predicted model, not a curated record.
UUGAAAGCUCGUUGAUGUGUAAUGUGCUCCGAGACCAGUGGUUCUUUCGGAACUCUGUCCCGGAAAUUAUCAUUACAGACAACGGCAGUACGUUUACCUCCAAAGAGUUUAAGACGAUGCUGGAUCGCUUCGGAAUUACCCAUUGGUUGAACUCCAGGUACCAUUCCCAAGCGAACCCAGUUGAGCGCGUAAACCGGACUAUAAACGCCGCUAUACGUACCUACGUUAAAGACGAUCAACGCUUGUGGGACACUAAGCUCUCGGAAAUUGAGCUUAUACUCAACACAAGUAUACACUCGUCCACAGGGUUUACACCGUACUACAUAACACACGGUCAAGAAUUAUCGGAGGAUGGUUCAGACCAUCGCCUUUUCCGGCAUGAUCAAAUUUUGGCCGACGAAGUGAGAGAAACUAGACGAAAACAAAGGUUCACAAGUAUUUACGAAAAGGUCAUCCAAAAUCUGACCAAAGCCCAUGAAUCUUCUCGUAAACAAUAUAAUCUUCGGCACCGGCAAUUUGCCAAAGCAUUUACGGCCGGCCAAUUAGUCUUUAGAAGGAACAUGAAACUUUCAAACGCGGGAGAGUACUAUAACGCAAAAUAUGGGCAGCAAUAUCUUCCAUGCAAAAUUCUAUCCAAAAUAGGAACCAGUUCUUAUGAACUAGAAGAUCUUGCUGGGAAAAAUCUUGGGAUCUGGCCAGCAGCCCACUUAAAACCAGGUUGAAUAAAAACACGCACAUUUACACUAUUUAUAUUUUAAAAACACAUCGAUUUUGUCCCAGAUCGGUAAAACUAAAUAAACAUAUCGCCGAAUAUUUAUAUAAUUAACGACGUGCCGCACUUGCCGAAGCAGCAAGCCACUGCACAAGUUUGGAACAUUGGCUGGCACUUCUGAGUGACCACCGUAAGUGUAUCCAAAAUGAUUUCGAACGUGCGGCAACAUUAUCGAGCGCUGAAGAUGCAUGCACGAAACAGAGCCGUCAGAAAUACCCUGGAAAAAAGGACAUAAAACAUAAUUCUUAAAUUCUAAUGCAUGAUUAAACAGCUUACCUGUGAAAUAAACAACCAUCCUCGAUUCACGCUUUGAAGAAAAUAUGAUUGUUGACAUCUCAGCUCGUUGACAGCUCAAGCAGUUGACCUAACGGGUGAUACAAAAGUAUUCCCAUAAACACCCAGUUGGUAUAAUUUACCCUCGAAUAUUUUCUAUGUUUUCUUCCAAAUGAAAUAGGGUAAAGCAGAUAAUAGCGGUACCAUAUAUUUAUCAGAUUGUGCAACAUGAAACCACAAACUGAACCUGACUUAUAAAUUAGGGCGCCCUAGAAAUUAUUAAGAUAUUUGUGCAUAAGUGUGUGAGUGGAAAUCAUGAAUCAGAAGGGAAGCUUGCAUGAAUGAUAGUGUAUGAAUGAGCGAUGCAAAUGGUUAGUGGGUAGACUGAUCGAGGAAGAAUGAGAAAGAGUAUGAUUGUGAAAGACAUGAAUGAGAGUAUGUAAAGGGAAGGAAAGGAAGAGAAACAAUUGUUAUUAAAUUUGUUUUUGUCUUUGGCGAAUGGCUUUAGACAGUAUCGGGAUAGAAGAAAGACGGUAUUAGAGUUUUGUCUUGUCUUCUACGAAUUACAUAACCUAUUUUGUCUGGGCGGCAGCUGUUGACUUUUUAUUCUGGAAGAGCAUGGGGAUGGCAAAUGCUUAUUUUUUCUGACGGACCCUGAGAUAGCUAAUUCACAUUUCCAAAUAUGACCAAAAUCACAAAAGUAGGCUGAGGCAUGGCGAGUCUCACCGUUGGAGAUUCACAUAAAUUGGAAGAAAAGAGCUCCCUAACGGGAAAAAUCAUUGUUUCAAAUUAACUAGUAUCUCCGAGGGAAGUAGGCCCAUAGUUAAGGUCAAUCUCUAUAUCUGUUUCGAGAUUAAAGAUUACAAAUAUUAUUACUUAUUUUUUUUUUGCUUAAUCUAUAAAACAAUUAUUGCUUCGGCAUGGCGAGUCUCACCGCAUAAGAAUCCCAUAAUGAUCUGGAAGAAAAGAGCUCCGUGCUACGGAAAAAUCAUUGUUUCAAAUUAAUUGGAAACUUUAGGGGAAGUAGGCCCAUGCCAAUGAGUCAUUAAAAAAAACCUUUUUUUUUUAUCCCGACUCCGGGAGGAUUGUAACCUCCGAGUCCGGUUACAUUAACUGCUUCCAAUAUAUACGUGCACAAUUGGAUUAAAAACACAUGUAAAUAAAUCUAUUGAUGAAUCUUAUCCUCUAUUCCUUAGCUAAACAUAAAAUUAUUUAUAGUAUUAAACUAGCUUAAACACUAAUAUUAACAUUUCCUAUUCCAACAUGGUGUCAGAAUUUGUCCCAUUAAAUAAACGCAAAUGAAUUAAAACAAAUGAAUUAAAUUUAUAUUAAAUUACUUAAGACUAUGAAUAUACCCUAUUAUUGAAUUUAAAAUCAAAUUUGAACUUGCUAUAAAAUGUUCCCAUACCCCUUGACGCCAUAAUCCUAACUCUUUGACAUUUCCCUGAGUCCCACUACGCAACGGAUAUUCUCCUGUCAUUCGGCACCGACUUUCACAUUCAGGACAUCAAUAAAGAUAAAUACGGAUGGAAGCGAUGGAUCAGGCCUCAUUUUCUGACAAAAGUGACACGUGAAAGCAGAAGCCGACCGACCGACAACCCUGCACUGGGAGAGUACGAUUGUGUGCACGGUGGCCCCAGCUUUACAAAGUCGACCAGUUGGCCCAAUCCGGGUGUGGACCUAGCCCGACCGGUUUCUUUCGUCGACGACGAAACAAUCGAUCCUGCGACCAACCUCGAGGAAAGAUUUCUGCUGCUGUAGCUGCUGCCGCUGGAGGGCGGUUUGAUUUAUGUUGCGCCAAAUCGAGCAAUCGUCGUGACAAGCAGAUGGAGACGCCGUUUGCUACUCCACCGACAUUGGAGGAAUUUUGAGGCCGGAAGUAAUGGCACAGAAACCGUAAGCGCGUGUAAAUCUUUUCCUUUUAUUCUUUUCCUUCCUAAAAAACAAAAUUUCUUAUUAAAAUAUUAAAUGAAUAAAAUGGCCUUGUCUUAUUAUGCAUGUAUGAACAUAUUUGUUUAAAAUCUUUACUGCCAGAGCCUUUUUCACAAAAUAUUUUCGGUUGGUUCUGCAGUUAGGGAAGACAGUCCGCAAUUCUUCCGGAGCCAAUUGCCCCCGCCGGGCAAACGUAAGUGAUUAGUAACAGUGUAUAUAAGAA